RNAcentral lists this ribosomal RNA (875 nucleotides) under uncultured bacterium. RNAcentral's name for it is "bacterial SSU rRNA". It matches the Rfam family "Bacterial small subunit ribosomal RNA", at positions 28 to 916 of the family's 1533-position model. The record is from RNAcentral.
GACGAACGCUGGCGGCGCGCCUAAUGCAUGCAAGUCGAACGAGCAAUCCCCGCUUCGGUGGGGUGCGCGAGUGGCAGACGGCUGAGUAACGCGUAAGCAACCUACCCACUGGCGGGGGACAACCCGGAGAAAUCCGAGCUAAUACCGCAUGUGGUUGCUUCACCUCGGUGGAGCAACGAAAGACUUCGGCCACCAGUGGACGGGCUUGCGUCCUAUCAGGUAGUUGGUGAGGUAACGGCCCACCAAGCCGAAGACGGGUAGCCGGUGUGAGAGCACGAUCGGCCAGAGGGGGACUGAGAACGGCCCCCACUCCUACGGGAGGCAGCAGCAGGGAAUCUUGCGCAAUGGACGAAAGUCUGACGCAGCGACGCCGUGUGGGGGAAGAAGGCCUGCGGGUUGUAAACCCCUUUUCUAGGGGAAGAAGUUCUGACGGUACCCUAGGAAUAAGCCUCGGCUAACUACGUGCCAGCAGCCGCGGUAAUACGUAGGAGGCUAGCGUUGUCCGGAUUUACUGGGCGUAAAGGGGGCGCAGGUGGCUGAGUAGGUCCGUGGUGCAAGCUCCAGGCUUAACUUGGAGAGGUCUACGGAAACCGCUUKGCUUGRGGSCGGUAGAGGAGCACGGAAUUCCGGGUGUAGUGGUGAAAUGCGUAGAUAUCCGGAGGAACACCUGAGGCGAAAGCGGUGCUCUGGGCCGUUCCUGACACUCAGGCCCGAAAGCGUGGGGAGCAAACUGGAUUAGAUACCCAGGUAGUCCACGCCCUAAACGAUGGAUGCUAGAUAUGGGGGGUAUCGACCCCCCCCGUGUCGUAGCUUACGCGUUAAGCAUCCCGCCUGGGAACUACGGCCGCAAGGCUAAAACUCAAAGGAAUUGACGG